RNAcentral lists this ribosomal RNA (389 nucleotides) under uncultured bacterium. RNAcentral describes it as "bacterial SSU rRNA". It matches the Rfam family "Bacterial small subunit ribosomal RNA", at positions 28 to 418 of the family's 1533-position model. The record is from RNAcentral.
GACGAACGCUGGCGGCGUGCUUAACACAUGCAAGUCGAGCGGUAAGGCCCUUUCGGGGGUACACGAGCGGCGAACGGGUGAGUAACACGUGGGUGACCUGCCCUCAGCUCUGGGAUAAGCCUGGGAAACCGGGUCUAAUACCGGAUAUGACUCCAUGACGCAUGUUGUGGGGUGGAAAGCCUUGUGCGGCUGAGGAUGGGCCCGCGGCCUAUCAGCUUGUUGGUGGGGUGAUGGCCUACCAAGGCGACGACGGGUAGCCGGCCUGAGAGGGCGACCGGCCACACUGGGACUGAGACACGGCCCAGACUCCUACGGGAGGCAGCAGUGGGGAAUCUUGCGCAAUGGGCGAAAGCCUGACGCAGCGACGCCGCGUGAGGGAUGACGGCCUG